Non-coding RNA from Cajanus cajan (pigeon pea), 1509 nucleotides. The record is from RefSeq and is a predicted model, not a curated record. NCBI's taxonomy places the organism in Eukaryota, Viridiplantae, Streptophyta, Magnoliopsida, Fabales, Fabaceae.
UGUUUUCCGCUUUCAAACUUUUGAUUCUACGAGAGCUUCCGGUAUUAGUGAAAGUUGAAGAGUUCGCACGAAAACCCUUUAUUUAUGGCUCCUCUCUGCAUUCAAUUGGUGCCACCCGAUUGUUUAUUUUGUAGCUUUGAUAUAUCUUUACCUGGUUCAUGAGCGUUAUGUUACGAGGCUGCGGAAGAAGUUGCAGUUUGAGGAGAGGAAGCAAGCCAACCAAAGAAGGGUGCUUUCGGAUUCUGAAACAGUCUGGUGGUUGAACCAUGCAGUUGAAAACAUAUGGCCCAUAUGUAUGGAAAAGAUUGCCUCUCAGAAUAUUUUACUCCCUAUCAUUCCGUGGUUCUUAGAGAAAUACAAACCUUGGACUGCUGAAUGACUCAAAGAAGCUGUUGUUCAGAAUCUAUACUUGGGAAGAAAUCCACCUUUGUUUACUAAAAUGAGGGUUCUUCGCUGGAGUGAUGAUGAUCACUAUGGUUUCAUGGCAUUCUAAUUAAAUGCUUAUGUUCAUUUUUGUCCUGCAUGACUUUGGAAAUAAUUUUGUUAAGGUUUUUCUAUUAGUGUCUUGAAGUGAAUUUUCUUUUCCGUUUUGCAGAAGGGAAAUCCCUUGCUUAAACACAUUAGGAAUGUUAGAUGGGCGUUUGCUGAUAUUGUUUGUGACUACUUGCUUGGCCAAAGCUCAUGUGCUCUCUAUCUCAGCACUGCCUGCUUGGUGGGCAUCACAGGGGUUCUUGCUCCACUCCUUGAGGAGACUAUAUUUCGAGGAUUUUUUAUGACUUCCCUGACUAAGUGCUGGUGCACCCUCUGCUGUUCAGAAAGCUGCUGGUCAGGACCUUUAUCGUGGGGGUGGAUCAAUAGCGGUGCCUAAUUCAGCUGGCGGUGCAGAUGCCAUGAUGACGGUUGGUGCAGCUGAGUCAUUCGACGUGAAUGCAAGCAUGGACAAUACAGCAGCUGGUGAACAUGUACGUGAAGGCAACAAAGCAGGUGUUGGAUCAUGCGGUGAGGCCUUAAAUACUCAAGUUGCUGAUGCAGUUGUUGUUGUGCACUCAAAUAAAAUCUUUGAUGGCACCAAAGAAGGUGCUGGUCCGUCUAAAUCAGGCGGUGAUGCCAUAACCAAAAAGGUAGCUGAUGCAGCUGCUGAUCCAACUUCAGAAAAAUCUGCUGCACCUGUUGCGGAUUCAGCACUUGCUACGGCUACUCAUGAUGAAGCAAAUGGAGACAAGUUUACAUCGGUUUUAUGAAUAACUGAUGUAAAUUUGUACCAAAUUUACAUCGGUUAUAUAUAAAACCGAUGUAAAAUUAUGCACAAAUUUACAUCGGUUAUAUAUAGAACCGAUGUAAAAUUAUGCACAAAUUUACAUCGGUUUUAUAUAGAACCGAUGUAAAAUAGUAUACAUAUACUACGUCACUCUAUUCUACAUCGGUUUUAGAACCGAUGUAAAUAAUGUUUAAUAACCGAUGUAAAAUGGUAUAUAUGUAGUAGUGAAUGGAGAAGUUUAUUCAAAAUCA